CGAAUUGCGAUCUGUAAUGUGAGUUGCAGAAUUCAGUGAAUCAUCGAAUCUUUGAACGCACCUUGCG
Molecule: ribosomal RNA, 67 nt
Filed under: uncultured Clavariaceae
Lineage: Eukaryota; Fungi; Basidiomycota; Agaricomycetes; Agaricales; Clavariaceae
Description: partial 5.8S ribosomal RNA
Rfam family: 5.8S ribosomal RNA
About the family: 5.8S ribosomal RNA (5.8S rRNA) is a component of the large subunit of the eukaryotic ribosome. It is transcribed by RNA polymerase I as part of the 45S precursor that also contains 18S and 28S rRNA.
Source: RNAcentral